UGACGGGAUGAAUUCACUCUGGAAUCUCGUUCGGCUGAAUGCUGCUGUUGAGAAUCGGACUCUGAGUGUC
Alligator mississippiensis (American alligator) is the source of this 70-nucleotide small nucleolar RNA. It matches the Rfam family "Small nucleolar RNA SNORD30". From Rfam's summary of the family: U30 is a member of the C/D class of snoRNA which contain the C (UGAUGA) and D (CUGA) box motifs. U30 is encoded within the U22 snoRNA host gene (UHG) in mammals and is thought to act as a 2'-O-ribose methylation guide for ribosomal RNA. The record is from Rfam. Lineage: Eukaryota; Metazoa; Chordata; Crocodylia; Alligatoridae.